AAACUGCACUGCACUCCUUCAGGUUGGAUUGAUUUCUUGAGUGAUUGUCUUCUCUAUACAGAUUCUGGAAGGGCAAAAUGGCCGAUGACGGCUUCAUAGCGUAUCUAAAUAGCCUUGAUAAGAACGCCCUGAUUGCUUUGGUGAAAGACGACUUAAUGCCGGUGGUGGUGGCCGUCGAUAAGCUGAAAAAAAAAGUACUUGAUUUCCAGGCCCAGGCCCAGGCCCAGGCCAGUAACAACGAAAGGACUACUGCUGCAGUUGGCCCUAAGAUACGGAACCCGAAAAACGGAUAGUAAAAGGCAUGAGGACUAUCUCCAAGAGUCCCAAGAACAAACAAGCAACGGCUAGCUGGAGGAUGAUUCCUAUAUAUUUCUAUUAGUAAAGAAUAAAGAGAUACUAUGUUAUCUCAAACUCGUUUUAUCUUCCAUUUUAUCUUUAUCAGAAUCAUGCACGUAUUAAUUGUAUGCCCGCUAUAAAGCUUGUUGCUUGAGGAAUAAAGAUCGUUGGAGAAUUAUAUUGGGUUUUAA
Alnus glutinosa is the source of this 527-nucleotide long non-coding RNA. RefSeq lists it as uncharacterized. The transcript is spliced from 5 exons. The record is from RefSeq and is a predicted model, not a curated record. NCBI's taxonomy places the organism in Eukaryota, Viridiplantae, Streptophyta, Magnoliopsida, Fagales, Betulaceae.